Molecule: ribosomal RNA, 417 nt
Filed under: uncultured Flavisolibacter sp.
Lineage: Bacteria; Pseudomonadati; Bacteroidota; Chitinophagia; Chitinophagales; Chitinophagaceae
Description: bacterial SSU rRNA
Rfam family: Bacterial small subunit ribosomal RNA
Source: RNAcentral
UUUAAUUCGAUGAUACGCGAGGAACCUUACCUGGGCUAGAAUGCUAGUUGACCGAGGGUGAAAGCUCUCUUUGUAGCAAUACACAACUAGUAAGGUGCUGUAUGGCUGUCGUCAGCUCGUGCCGUGAGGUGUUGGGUUAAGUCCCGCAACGAGCGCAACCCCCAUCACUAGUUGCCAUCAGGUAACGCUGGGAACUCUAGUGAAACUGCCGUCGUAAGACGCGAGGAAGGAGGGGAUGAUGUCAAGUCAUCAUGGCCUUUAUGCCCAGGGCUACACACGUGCUACAAUGGGGCGUACAAAGGGCUGCCACUUAGCGAUAAGGAGCCAAUCCCAAAAAACGCCUCUCAGUUCAGAUCGCAGUCUGCAACUCGACUGCGUGAAGCUGGAAUCGCUAGUAAUCGUAUAUCAGCAAUGAUA